AAGCUGCAUCUGCCUUUCUGUUUCUCCAAGUUAAGGUCGGUCUUCAUGGAUGGAUGGGCUUUGUUUGAUGAAGACCAUUCUCUAAGGCAAGAGUGAGGGUCCUUCAGGCUCCUUUGCUUCCCUCUAACUUACGGCACCUUUCUUGAGUGGUUUGACUGAAGGCGCAGACACUUUCUGGGGUGAAAAAGCACAGGUCUUCCUGAAGUGAAUCCUGCAAUGGACUGACCUCAUCUUCCCGAGGCUGUGAUGUUUCAGGAGAGUUUCACUAUUGCUGACCAACUGAGACCACCAGAAGCUCCUAAGUGCAAAGAAUGGCUACAUCUUUUCUUCUGGAUACCACCAGAUCAUUCCAGCCACCUGCCUUUGUGGUGUCUCCAGACAAGGACUGACAACCAUCGAAGCAUCGAAACCCUAAGGCUACUUGGAGAGAAGAAGAAUGUCCCUGGAGAAGAGUCCUUCCUUGCCAUCUGGAUCUCCUAG
This 480-nucleotide long non-coding RNA is filed under the name Mus spicilegus (steppe mouse). Its description in RNAcentral is "lncRNA (ENSMSIG00000018672.1)". Lineage: Eukaryota; Metazoa; Chordata; Mammalia; Rodentia; Muridae. The record is from RNAcentral.